GUUCUUCCUUCUGAAUCAGCUUGGUCUACAUGAUAAUUUUCUUGUCUCCAGACUUCCAGAAAGGGAAAAGAAAGCAAUUAUUUUCACUCAACUGAUGUGAACUUAAAGGUUCUUUAAGCUAGCUGUCCAACUGCUCUACCUGUCCACGCAGCUUUCCAAGACAACCAAACUGAAGAUAGUAUGCUUAGUGCUGUACCAGCAUAUGUCUGGAGGCCUACAAAGAAGGGCUGAUGAAACUCUAAGAGAUCACAACUCUGGUUUUGAAUCCUGCAAGUGGACAAGCACAGCCUCACAGGCUCACAGCCAGAGCCGGGAGAAGAAUGUGGAACUCCAUGCAGAGAAGGCUGUGGUAUAA
This 355-nucleotide long non-coding RNA is filed under the name Chrysolophus pictus (golden pheasant). RNAcentral's name for it is "lncRNA (ENSCPIG00010013516.1)". Lineage: Eukaryota; Metazoa; Chordata; Aves; Galliformes; Phasianidae. The record is from RNAcentral.